Molecule: ribosomal RNA, 502 nt
Filed under: uncultured bacterium
Lineage: Bacteria
Description: partial 16S ribosomal RNA
Rfam family: Bacterial small subunit ribosomal RNA
Source: RNAcentral
ACUCAAAUGAAUUGACGGGGGCCCGCACAAGCGGUGGAGCAUGUGGUUCAAUUCGACGCAACGCGAAGAACCUUACCAGGCCUUGACAUGGGGAGUAUGGAUUCCGGAAACGGGAUCCUUCAGUUCGGCUGGCUCCCACACAGGUGCUGCAUGGCUGUCGUCAGCUCGUGUCGUGAGAUGUUGGGUUAAGUCCCGCAACGAGCGCAACCCUCGUCUUCAGUUGCCAUCAGGUAAAGCUGGGCACUCUGAAGAAACCGCCGGUGAUAAGCUGGAGGAAGGUGGGGAUGACGUCAAGUCCUCAUGGCCCUUACGGCCUGGGCUACACACGUGCUACAAUGGCGGUGACAGUGGGAAGCGAAGGAGCGAUCCGGAGCCAAUCCCCAAAAGCCGUCUCAGUUCGGAUUGCACUCUGCAACUCGAGUGCAUGAAGGCGGAAUCGCUAGUAAUCGCGGAUCAGCACGCCGCGGUGAAUACGUUCUCGGGCCUUGUACACACCGCCCGU